GCGGCUGCGGCUUCUGCUCAGGGAGGCGGAAGGCGGCGGCGGGAGCGGUCAUGGAGGCGGGCGCCGGAGCCGGCGCGGGAGCCGCGGGCUGGAGCUGCCCGGGCCCAGUCAUCCCCUACCCCCAAUCCCCCCAUCUUCUCCUUGCCUCUUGUAGGCCUGGUGGUCAUCUCGGCUUUGCUCUGGUGCUGGUGGGCUGAGACGUCGUCCUAAUGCAGAACAUGUUUGGGUUGUGGAAGCCUAUGGUAUUCUUGGCUAUUGCAGCUGUGGCUCUGUAUGUGUUACCCAACAUGCGACAGCAGGAGUCAGAGUUCUGCCUCAUGGAGUGAUGGCAGACCUUGGCCAGCGCGAGGGCAGAUCCCCAGUGGCCACCACCCUCAGCUUUGGGCAGGACACACUGUGCCAGAACCCUCCCCAUAUGUUCCAUGUGUCCCCAUCUCCUCAGCCUCAGUCACCCAGGCUGAAAAGGCUUGUGGGGAGCGGCUGACUUCCAUCUCCUGCCUUGUGUAAGAACCUGAGUUCCUUGUAAUUAAAUAUCAACUGAAUUAC
This 546-nucleotide long non-coding RNA is filed under the name Homo sapiens (human). RNAcentral describes it as "HSALNT0128823". The record is from RNAcentral. Lineage: Eukaryota; Metazoa; Chordata; Mammalia; Primates; Hominidae.